Molecule: transfer RNA, 75 nt
Filed under: Mycetocola zhujimingii
Lineage: Bacteria; Bacillati; Actinomycetota; Actinomycetes; Micrococcales; Microbacteriaceae
Also listed under: 4 other names
Rfam family: tRNA
About the family: Transfer RNA (tRNA) molecules are approximately 80 nucleotides in length. Their secondary structure includes four short double-helical elements and three loops (D, anti-codon, and T loops).
Source: Rfam by way of RNAcentral
CGCGGCGUACCCAAGUGGUCAAAGGGAACGGUCUCAUAGCCCGUCAAUUCGCAAGUUCGAAUCUUGCCGUCGCGU